This 935-nucleotide ribosomal RNA is filed under the name uncultured archaeon. RNAcentral describes it as "bacterial SSU rRNA". It matches the Rfam family "Archaeal small subunit ribosomal RNA", at positions 1 to 922 of the family's 1478-position model. The record is from RNAcentral.
UUCCGGUUGAUCCUGCCGGACCCGACUGCUAUUUGGGUGAGAAUAAGCCAUGCGAGUCGAAUGGGAUACCUAAACUUCCUGUGGCAAACUGCUCAGUAAUACAUGGUCAACUUAACCUAUAGAGAAAAAUAAUCUCGGGAAACUGAGGAUAAUAUUUCAUAGUUGAAUCGGCUUGGAAAAGUUUUUCAAUCAAAAGGAUAAGAAAAAUGGUUUUUAUUCGCUAUAGGAUAGGAUCGUGGACGAUUAUGGUUGUUGGUGAGGUAACGGCUCACCAAGCCGAUAAUCGAUAGGGGCCGUGAGAGCGGGAGCCCCGAGAUGGGUACUUAGACAACGACCCAGGCCUUACGAGGCGCAGCAGGCGCGGAACCUCCGCAAUACACGAAAGUGUGACGGGGUUACCCAAAGUGUUCAGUUUUGGACUGUGGUAGGUGAGUAAUGUUCCCUACUAGAAAGGAGAGGGCAAGGCUGGUGCCAGCCGCCGCGGUAAAACCAGCUCUUCAAGUGGUCGGGAUAAUUAUUGGGCUUAAAGUGUCCGUAGCCGGUUUAGUAAGUUCCUGGUAAAAUCGGGUAGCUUAACUAUCUAUAUGCUAGGAAUACUGCUAUACUAGAGGGCGGGAGAGGUCUGAGGUACUACUGGGGUAGGGGUGAAAUCUUAUAAUCCUUGUAGGACCACCAGUGGCGAAGGCGUCAGACUGGAACGCGCCUGACGGUGAGGGACGAAAGCCAGGGGAGCGAACCGGAUUAGAUACCCGGGUAGUCCUGGCCGUAAACGAUGCAUACUAGGUGAUGGUGUGGCCAUGAGCCGUAUCAGUGCCGUAGGGAAACCGUUAAGUGUGCCGCCUGGGAAGUACGGUCGCAAGGCUAAAACUUAAAGGAAUUGGCGGGGGAGCACCACAAGGGGUGAAGCCUGCGGUUCAAUUGGACUCAACGCCGGA